This 58-nucleotide transfer RNA is filed under the name Salmo salar (Atlantic salmon). It matches the Rfam family "tRNA", at positions 8 to 63 of the family's 71-position model. From Rfam's summary of the family: Transfer RNA (tRNA) molecules are approximately 80 nucleotides in length. Their secondary structure includes four short double-helical elements and three loops (D, anti-codon, and T loops). Further hydrogen bonds mediate the characteristic L-shaped molecular structure. tRNAs have two regions of fundamental functional importance: the anti-codon, which is responsible for specific mRNA codon recognition, and the 3' end, to which the tRNAs corresponding amino acid is attached (by aminoacyl-tRNA synthetases). tRNAs cope with the degeneracy of the genetic code in two manners: having more than one tRNA (with a specific anti-codon) for a particular amino acid; and 'wobble' base-pairing, i.e. permitting non-standard base-pairing at the 3rd anti-codon position. The record is from Rfam by way of RNAcentral. RNAcentral also lists the same sequence under 2 other names. Lineage: Eukaryota; Metazoa; Chordata; Actinopteri; Salmoniformes; Salmonidae.
UGGCUCAGUUGGUAGAGCAUGGCGCUUGCAACGCCAGGGUUGUGGGUUCAAUUCCCAU